This 70-nucleotide microRNA precursor is filed under the name Capitella teleta. RNAcentral's name for it is "microRNA cte-mir-2710 precursor". The record is from miRBase by way of RNAcentral. Lineage: Eukaryota; Metazoa; Annelida; Polychaeta; Capitellidae.
CAGCAGGGUCCACUGUACCGUAUUGGCCCUUUAUUCUGAUAGGGCAGUGUGGUACAAGGGAACCCUGAGG